Molecule: long non-coding RNA, 122 nt
Organism: Octopus sinensis (East Asian common octopus)
Lineage: Eukaryota; Metazoa; Mollusca; Cephalopoda; Octopoda; Octopodidae
Exons: 3
Source: RefSeq, a predicted model, not a curated record
UCUAACAUUUUCGUUCACCCCAAACGGCGACGUCGUGUCACGUUCUCGCUUUCGCUGUGCCGUCGGAGUUCGCGAAUUGAAAGGCUCCAACGACUCGCAGUCGACUGGGACUCCUUGGUCCG